AAUUAGUAUUAUAGCUAAUCUUUAUUAAUAAAAUUAAUUAAUUAAUGCUUUAUCUGUGUCUGAGUGCAUAUAAUUCAAAAAACCCUAUAAUGCUGGAUUUUAGCCUAAUGCCCGGUAGUUCGAGCUCAACAAAUCCUUAGCGUCUCAUCUGAGCCUCACGUCGCCAGUCAUCCGCAUGCAAUCCAUAUCACUGUAACCACAUGUUUCAGCCAGCACAAAUGCCCGCAUCGUGGAGCUUCCUAGCAUCAUCAAAACCAUCCAUGUGGCUUUCCAAGCAUCAUGGCAUCUCCUCCAUGGAACCUAAAUCAAAUCCAUGGAACCUAAAUCAAACCCAUGGAACCUAAAUCAAACCUACGGGACCUAANN
RNAcentral lists this long non-coding RNA (366 nucleotides) under Phoenix dactylifera (date palm). Its description in RNAcentral is "long non-coding RNA (PDAC_LNC003884)". The record is from RNAcentral. Lineage: Eukaryota; Viridiplantae; Streptophyta; Magnoliopsida; Arecales; Arecaceae.